UAGCAGUGAAAUGCGUAGAGAUGUGGAGGAACACCGAUGGCGAAGGCAGCCCCCUGGGUCGACACUGACGCUCAUGCACGAAAGCGUGGGUAGCAAACAGGAUUAGAUACCCUGGUAGUCCACGCCCUAAACGAUGCCAACUAGGUGUUGGGGAAGGAGACUUCCUUAGUACCGUAGCUAACGCGUGAAGUUGGCCGCCUGGGGAGUACGGUCGCAAGAUUAAAACUCAAAGGAAUUGACGGGGACCCGCACAAGCGGUGGAUGAUGUGGAUUAAUUCGAUGCAACGCGAAAAACCUUACCUACCCUUGACAUGCCAGGAAUCCUGCUGAGAGGUGGGAGUGCCCGAAAGGGAGCCUGGACACAGGUGCUGCAUGGCUGUCGUCAGCUCGUGUCGUGAGAUGUUGGGUUAAGUCCCGCAACGAGCGCAACCCUUGUCAUUAGUUGCCAUCAUUUAGUUGGGCACUCUAAUGAGACUGCCGGUGACAAACCGGAGGAAGGUGGGGAUGACGUCAAGUCCUCAUGGCCCUUAUGGGUAGGGCUUCACACGUCAUACAAUGGUCGGUACAGAGGGUUGCCAAGCCGCGAGGUGGAGCCAAUCCCAGAAAGCCGAUCGUAGUCCGGAUUGCAGUCUGCAACUCGACUGCAUGAAGUCGGAAUCGCUAGUAAUCGUGGAUCAGCAUGUCACGGUGAAUACGUUCCCGGGUCUUGUACACACCGCCCGUCACACCAUGGGAGUGGCAUUCACCAGAAGUAGGUAGCCUAACCGCAAGGAGGGCGCUUACCACGGUGGGAUUCAUGACUGGGGUG
RNAcentral lists this ribosomal RNA (808 nucleotides) under uncultured Denitratisoma sp. RNAcentral describes it as "bacterial SSU rRNA". It matches the Rfam family "Bacterial small subunit ribosomal RNA", at positions 676 to 1482 of the family's 1533-position model. Lineage: Bacteria; Pseudomonadati; Pseudomonadota; Betaproteobacteria; Nitrosomonadales; Sterolibacteriaceae. The record is from RNAcentral.